CAUUGCCAGAGCAUGGAGAG
Molecule: small nuclear RNA, 20 nt
Filed under: Arabidopsis thaliana (thale cress)
Lineage: Eukaryota; Viridiplantae; Streptophyta; Magnoliopsida; Brassicales; Brassicaceae
Description: snRNA_09312
Source: RNAcentral